RNAcentral lists this ribosomal RNA (509 nucleotides) under Ulocladium sp. Pishan10-1. RNAcentral's name for it is "eukaryotic LSU rRNA". The stretch from base 149 to 302 matches the Rfam family "5.8S ribosomal RNA". Lineage: Eukaryota; Fungi; Ascomycota; Dothideomycetes; Pleosporales; Pleosporaceae. The record is from RNAcentral.
UGGCAUCCUUCGGGGUUACAGCCUUGCUGAAUUAUUCACCCGUGUCUUUUGCGUACUUCUUGUUUCCUUGGUGGGUUCGCCCACCAUAGGACAAACCAUAAACCUUUUGUAAUUGCAAUCAGCGUCAGUAAAAAAAAUUAAUAAUUACAACUUUUAACAACGGAUCUCUUGGUUCUGGCAUCGAUGAAGAACGCAGCGAAAUGCGAUAAGUAGUGUGAAUUGCAGAAUUCAGUGAAUCAUCGAAUCUUUGAACGCACAUUGCGCCCUUUGGUAUUCCAAAGGGCAUGCCUGUUCGAGCGUCAUUUGUACCCUCAAGCUUUGCUUGGUGUUGGGCGUCUUGUCUCCAGUUCGCUGGAGACUCGCCUUAAAGUAAUUGGCAGCCGGCCUACUGGUUUCGGAGCGCAGCACAAGUCGCGCUCUCUUCCAGCCAAGGUCAGCAUCCACAAAGCCUUUUUUCAACUUUUGACCUCGGAUCAGGUAGGGAUACCCGCUGAACUUAAGCAUAUCAA